This 232-nucleotide long non-coding RNA is filed under the name Setaria italica (foxtail millet). RNAcentral's name for it is "long non-coding RNA (SITA_LNC002306)". The record is from RNAcentral. Lineage: Eukaryota; Viridiplantae; Streptophyta; Magnoliopsida; Poales; Poaceae.
GGACUGUAGGGUCCUCCAUCGAGUGGAUGACCUCCUGCAGCAUAGAUAUAGUAGCACCUACGAGACCUGGAUCUCAGGUGCAUACUCCAUAGUCAAGUCGACUAUGAGCCCAGAAAUGGUAGUCGACGGACCAGCCUCAACCUCCACCUCCACCUCGACGGGAAUAAUAUCUUCGGCAUCCCUGGAUCAAUCAGGUCACAAGAUCAUCAUCCGGCUACAGAGUACAAAAAUC